CCUUAUACAUGUUCUCAUUGUAACUUGCCUUUGUCCAAUUUGGACUAUGAAAUUGAAAAACUAAACAAAUCAAAGCACAAACAGUGCAGUAUCAGAUGAUCUCUCAUUCCUAAACCAUUAUUUCUUGUAUAACAACAUGUUAAUUCUUUGGUAGAAUACUUUUGAUCUCUUCAUUUUGGAGGAACUGCUUUCACCGAUCCCUGGACAGCAUAUCAGGAAAGGCACUGUGUGGAAUAUGGGAGCACAAAGUACAAGAAAGACAGAACAGACUCUCGGGGAGGAGAGACUCCGCCUGCAGCGAUUGCUUCACACCGCAUGGGCCACCAUCCCUCUCUGGAUCACCUUUGCUACGGUUAAUCCCGCUUUGACCUCUUCUCCAACAGGACUCACCCCUAAAAUGCUUUGCUAAAGCUGGUAAAAUGGAACCAAAUCAACUGUUCAAUGGAUUUGGUCCCCUUCAACCAGCUGUAGCUGUGCAUUGAUCACUCCGAUCAUCCAACCAUACAGCAAUCCAGUGGGACUGAAGUGAUGCCUCAUUUUCUUCUCUAACAUAAACUCACCGUCAUGUAAUUCUCAGUGCCAAAUACUGUGUGUAUUUAUCUCUGUUAACAAAUUACCAGAAGCAAUUUACUUAAUCAGAAUUAAACAAGCCAACUAAGUAAUUAUAGAUAUAGUGAAUACAUUGUUAUGCUGUGUAAAGCUGCAACUGUAUUGUCCUUUGGAGAAUUGAAUUUUUCUUUGGAGAUUUUUCCAAAAUGUCUGCUGGGAUGAGGUGUAAUUAAAAUGUAAAAAAACGUAAAGCUGUGUGAGUUUAAUAAAGCCUUUUUGUGAACUUUAAAUAAACUUUUUUCAUCAAGUGAU
Long non-coding RNA from Girardinichthys multiradiatus, 861 nucleotides. RefSeq lists it as uncharacterized. Lineage: Eukaryota; Metazoa; Chordata; Actinopteri; Cyprinodontiformes; Goodeidae. The record is from RefSeq and is a predicted model, not a curated record. The transcript has 3 exons.